This 372-nucleotide ribosomal RNA is filed under the name uncultured organism. RNAcentral describes it as "bacterial SSU rRNA". It matches the Rfam family "Bacterial small subunit ribosomal RNA", at positions 526 to 896 of the family's 1533-position model. The record is from RNAcentral.
CAGAGGGGGCAAGCGUUAUUCGGAAUUAUUGGGCGUAAAGGGCGCGUAGGCGGCUUUGCAAGUGACGGGUGAAAGCCCUCGGCUUAACCGAGGAACUGCCUGUCAGACUGUGAGGCUUGAGACCAGGAGAGGUGAGUGGAAUUCCCAGUGUAGCGGUGAAAUGCGUAGAUAUUGGGAGGAACACCAGUGGCGAAGGCGGCUCACUGGACUGGUACUGACGCUGAGGCGCGAAAGCGUGGGGAGCAAACAGGAUUAGAUACCCUGGUAGUCCACGCCGUAAACGAUGAGUGCUUGGUGUAGCGGGUAUCGACCCCUGCUGUGCCGAAGUCAACACAUUAAGCACUCCGCCUGGGGAGUACGGUCGCAAGACUG